Schizosaccharomyces pombe (fission yeast) is the source of this 1091-nucleotide non-coding RNA. The record is from the annotation of a GenBank genome assembly. Lineage: Eukaryota; Fungi; Ascomycota; Schizosaccharomycetes; Schizosaccharomycetales; Schizosaccharomycetaceae.
UAAAAAAAAAGUAAAGAUUCGUUUAAGUGCAAAUGUUAUUAGAAAGAAUAUCAUAUAUCGGUGUCAUUCUUGAUCAAUAUAGCCAUUUACAAGCAGCUGAUACGUUUUAUUAAUUGAUUCGAAAAUACAGUAAAUAACCCAAACCACUUUUAAAGUACGGGUGAAUAAAUGCUAAGCGAAUAAUGAGAUAUAGGCCCGACCUAUUUAUUAAAUUUUGGUACUACUGGUUUUGCAGACCUCCAACUAACAGCUUUUGGAUUUACUGAUUCAACAAGUAGGUUCAUAGGACGUGAAGCAGAAAACGAAAGAAAGCCAAAAUUGUGAAUGACCAGUUCACCACUAGAUGUAGGAUCGAACACGUUUUCCGAUAAUUGUGUCGGUUUAAUACUUACGGUAAAAGAAGAAUGCAUCGGCGACGGAGAGUGAGUUACUAAAGGAACAUUAUCAUUUUUCGUAGAAUUUUCAAGUGAUUGUAAUUUUGUUAUAGAGGUAAUAUGAGCGGGAAGUUUUGUAAAUAACUUAAUCAAAAGAGGUUUCAUAUUAUUGGUAUUGCCUUUUGUUUUCUUAUUUUUUAAAGUCGAGAACAAAAAGUGUAUCGUGGUGCUCGAAGGAUCUUCCUUUUUAAACAUAAUUGGCUUUCCAACUUCAUGAUUUCCAUCUUCAUUUAUUUCAAAAGGCGUAACACGAACUAGUCCACCUAAAAUAAUAGACUGACCGAAACGAACACGAUACUGAACAGGCUUACUUGUGAGUUGCUUAUUUCUAGACCUUGUUUUAGGUACGAGACUUGUCAAUAGCUUAGUAUCAACCCAGGGUAAUAAAGAUUUCAAGUUACCACGGUAUCCAGGAGUAUCAAAAAUUAAGCCUUCAGAUAAUUGCUUAAAACAGGAACCGAAAUAUUGUGUAGGAUACCCUUUUAUUGCUUGAGUGGUUCCUGGUAAAAAACUGUCAAGCAAAAGCUCAUUAAAAACACCAUUUCCCCGUUUAGCCAAAGUUUUUAGCAAUGUAGAUUUUCCAGAAUUUGCUUCGCCUACGACAUAUACAUGACCUCGCGAACAUAGCAAGGGAUUUAUCCUUCCCAAGAGCUUAUC